GGAAUAUAGGUAGCUUGCCCUUCGGUUAGACCCUGCUCAGGUCUCUAUACAUUUGAAUGAAGUAGUUUUGGUGUAUAGAUCAUGCCUCUGCAGUCUCACGUCUCAGCCCCUAUUUAAAGUACCUCUGUCACGACAAGAUUUUGCAUAUUUUAUAUUCCCUUAUUUCUUCACAUUAAAAAAGCAUGCUGUGUUAUAAAAAAUAAAUAUAAAGAAGUUUUAACUUCCUAAACUUUUGCAGGCUGAUGCAUUCUUCUCAC
Molecule: non-coding RNA, 257 nt
Organism: Pelobates cultripes (western spadefoot toad)
Lineage: Eukaryota; Metazoa; Chordata; Amphibia; Anura; Pelobatidae
Source: the annotation of a GenBank genome assembly